RNAcentral lists this ribosomal RNA (408 nucleotides) under uncultured bacterium. Its description in RNAcentral is "bacterial SSU rRNA". It matches the Rfam family "Bacterial small subunit ribosomal RNA", at positions 355 to 775 of the family's 1533-position model. The record is from RNAcentral.
UGGGGAAUAUUGCGCAAUGGGCGGAAGCCUGACGCAGCAACGCCGCGUGAGGGAUGACGGCCUUCGGGUUGUAAACCUCUUUCAGCAGGGACGAAGCGGAAGUGACGGUACCUGCAGAAGAAGCACCGGCCAACUACGUGCCAGCAGCCGCGGUAAGACGUAGGGUGCGAGCGUUGUCCGGAAUUAUUGGGCGUAAAGGGCUCGUAGGCGGUUUGUCGCGUCGAAAGUGAAACUCCGAGGCUCAACCUCGGAACUGCUUUCGAUACGGGCAGACUAGAGGUAGGCAGGGGAGAGUGGAACUCCAGGUGUAGCGGUGGAAUGCGCAGAUAUCUGGAAGAACACCGGUGGCGAAGGCGGCUCUCUGGGCCUUACCUGACGCUGAGGAGCGAAAGCGUGGGUAGCGAACAG